This 416-nucleotide ribosomal RNA is filed under the name uncultured Allobrachymonas sp. RNAcentral's name for it is "bacterial SSU rRNA". It matches the Rfam family "Bacterial small subunit ribosomal RNA", at positions 956 to 1382 of the family's 1533-position model. The record is from RNAcentral. Lineage: Bacteria; Pseudomonadati; Pseudomonadota; Betaproteobacteria; Burkholderiales; Comamonadaceae.
GCAACGCGAAAACCUUACCACCUUGACAUGGCAGGAAUCCUAAGAGAUUGGAGUGCUCGAAAGAGAACCUGCACACAGGUGCUGCAUGGCUGUCGUCAGCUCGUGUCGUGAGAUGUUGGGUUAAGUCCCGCAACGAGCGCAACCCUUGCCAUUAGUUGCUACGAAAGGGCACUCUAAUGGGACUGCCGGUGACAAACCGGAGGAAGGUGGGGAUGACGUCAAGUCCUCAUGGCCCUUAUAGGUGGGGCUACACACGUCAUACAAUGGCCGGUACAGAGGGUAGCCAACCCGCGAGGGGGAGCCAAUCCCACAAAGCCGGUCGUAGUCCGGAUCGCAGUCUGCAACUCGACUGCGUGAAGUCGGAAUCGCUAGUAAUCGCGGAUCAGCAUGUCGCGGUGAAUACGUUCCCGGGUCUU